This 29-nucleotide non-coding RNA is filed under the name Homo sapiens (human). Lineage: Eukaryota; Metazoa; Chordata; Mammalia; Primates; Hominidae. The record is from RNAcentral.
UCCGCACACUCACCUGUGUAGCCCUCGUU